GAUGAACGCUGGCGGCGUGCUUAACACAUGCAAGUCGAGCGAGAAGUUUUGAAAAGAUUCUUCGGAUGAAAUUUAAAAUGGAAAGCGGCGGACGGGUGAGUAACGCGUAGGCAACCUGCCCCAUACAAAGGGAUAGCAUUUGGAAACGAAUAUUAAUACCUUAUGAAACUUAACUAGUGCAUGCUAGGUAGGUCAAAGAUUUAUCGGUAUGGGAUGGGCCUGCGUCUGAUUAGCUAGUUGGUGAGGUAACGGCUCACCAAGGCGACGAUCAGUAGCCGACCUGAGAGGGUGAACGGCCACAUUGGAACUGAGACACGGUCCAAACGCCUACGGGAGGCAGCAGUGGGGAAUAUUGCACAAUGGGGGAAACCCUGAUGCAGCAACGCCGCGUGAACGAUGAAGGCCUUUGGGUCGUAAAGUUCUGUUCUAGGUGAUGAAAACUGACAGUAACCUAGGAGAAAGCCCCGGCUAACUCCGUG
Molecule: ribosomal RNA, 479 nt
Filed under: uncultured bacterium
Lineage: Bacteria
Description: partial 16S ribosomal RNA
Rfam family: Bacterial small subunit ribosomal RNA
Source: RNAcentral